CGCGUCGUGGUAUUUCGCGUAUUGUAAUUUCAACACGAGCGGGGUCAAAUCCUUUGCAGACGACUUAUCUGUGCGAAACGGUCCUGUAACCAGUAUAUUAGCCUUGUUGUUACGAUCUGCUGAGGGUAAGCCGUCCUUCGCCUCGAUUU
Molecule: ribosomal RNA, 149 nt
Filed under: Fusarium odoratissimum
Lineage: Eukaryota; Fungi; Ascomycota; Sordariomycetes; Hypocreales; Nectriaceae
Description: partial 28S large subunit ribosomal RNA
Rfam family: Eukaryotic large subunit ribosomal RNA
Source: RNAcentral